UACGUAGGGGGCAAGCGUUAUCCGGAUUUAUUGGGUUUAAAGGGUGCGUAGGCGGAAUAUCAAGUCAGCGGUAAAAAUUCGGGGCUCAACCCCGUCGUGCCGUUGAAACUGAUGUUCUUGAGUGGGCGAGAAGUAUGCGGAAUGCGCGGUGUAGCGGUGAAAUGCAUAGAUAUCGCGCAGAACUCCGAUUGCGAAGGCAGCGUACCGGCGCCACACUGACGCUGAGGCACGAAAGCGUGGGGAUCGAACAGG
RNAcentral lists this ribosomal RNA (252 nucleotides) under uncultured Bacteroidales bacterium. RNAcentral's name for it is "partial 16S ribosomal RNA". It matches the Rfam family "Bacterial small subunit ribosomal RNA", at positions 524 to 776 of the family's 1533-position model. The record is from RNAcentral. Lineage: Bacteria; Pseudomonadati; Bacteroidota; Bacteroidia; Bacteroidales.